RNAcentral lists this small nuclear RNA (107 nucleotides) under Catagonus wagneri (Chacoan peccary). The record is from RNAcentral. Lineage: Eukaryota; Metazoa; Chordata; Mammalia; Artiodactyla; Tayassuidae.
GUGCUCACUUUGGCAGCACAUACACUAAAAUUGGAAUGAUACAGAGAAGAUUAGCAUGGCCCCUGCGAAUGGAUGAUGUGCAAAUUUCUGAAGCAUUCCAUAUUUUU